This 364-nucleotide ribosomal RNA is filed under the name uncultured soil bacterium. Its description in RNAcentral is "bacterial SSU rRNA". It matches the Rfam family "Bacterial small subunit ribosomal RNA", at positions 26 to 394 of the family's 1533-position model. The record is from RNAcentral.
AGAUUGAACGCUGGCGGCAUGCUUUACACAUGCAAGUCGAACGGCAGCACGGGGGAAACCCUGGUGGCGAGUGGCGAACGGGUGAGUAAUACAUCGGAACGUACCCUAGAGUGGGGGAUAACCCAGCGAAAGUUGGGCUAAUACCGCAUACGCUCGAAAGAGGAAAGCGGAGGACCGCAAGGCUUCGCGCUUCUGGAGCGGCCGAUGUCCGAUUAGCUUGUUGGCGGGGUAAUGGCCCACCAAGGCGUCGAUCGGUAGCUGGUCUGAGAGGACGAUCAGCCACACUGGGACUGAGACACGGCCCAGACUCCUACGGGAGGCAGCAGUGGGGAAUUUGGACAAUGGGGGAAACCUGAUCCAGCCA